RNAcentral lists this ribosomal RNA (398 nucleotides) under uncultured bacterium. Its description in RNAcentral is "partial 16S ribosomal RNA". It matches the Rfam family "Bacterial small subunit ribosomal RNA", at positions 523 to 918 of the family's 1533-position model. The record is from RNAcentral.
AUACGUAGGGUGCGAGCGUUGUCCGGAAUUACUGGGCGUAAAGAGCUCGUAGGUGGUUUGUCGCGUCGUCUGUGAAAUUCCGGGGCUUAACUCCGGGCGUGCAGGCGAUACGGGCAUAACUUGAGUACUGUAGGGGAGACUGGAAUUCCUGGUGUAGCAGUGAAAUGCGCAGAUAUCAGGAGGAACACCGGUGGCGAAGGCGGGUCUCUGGGCAGUAACUGACGCUGAGGAGCGAAAGCAUGGGUAGCGAACAGGAUUAGAUACCCUGGUAGUCCAUGCCGUAAACGGUGGGCGCUAGGUGUAGGGGUCUUCCACGACUUCUGUGCCGUAGCUAACGCAUUAAGCGCCCCGCCUGGGGAGUACGGCCGCAAGGCUAAAACUCAAAGGAAUUGACGGGG